RNAcentral lists this ribosomal RNA (506 nucleotides) under uncultured bacterium. RNAcentral describes it as "partial 16S ribosomal RNA". It matches the Rfam family "Bacterial small subunit ribosomal RNA", at positions 30 to 523 of the family's 1533-position model. The record is from RNAcentral.
AUUGAACGCUGGCGGCAGGCCUAACACAUGCAAGUCGAACGGUAACAGAAAGUAGCUUGCUACUUUGCUGACGAGUGGCGGACGGGUGAGUAAUGUCUGGGGAUCUGCCUGAUGGAGGGGGAUAACUACUGGAAACGGUAGCUAAUACCGCAAAAUGUCGCAAGACAAAAGCGGGGGACGUUCGGGCUUCGCAACAUCAGAUGAACCCAGAUGGGAUUAGCUAGUAGGUAGGGUAAUGGCUUACCUAGGCGACGAUCCCUAGCAGGUCUGAGAGGAUGACCAGCCACACUGGAACUGAGACACGGCCCAGACUCCUACGGGAGGCAGCAGUGGGGAAUAUUGCACAAUGGGCGCAAGUCUGAUGCAGCCAUGCCGCGUGUAUGAAGAAGGCCUUCGGGUUGUAAAGUACUUUCAGUCAGGAGGAAGGGUGUGAAAUUAAUACUUUCAGUCAUUGACGUUACUGACAGAAGAAGCACCGGCUAACUCCGUGCCAGCCGCCGCUGUAA